Molecule: non-coding RNA, 90 nt
Organism: Armillaria luteobubalina
Lineage: Eukaryota; Fungi; Basidiomycota; Agaricomycetes; Agaricales; Physalacriaceae
Source: the annotation of a GenBank genome assembly
UCUCUGAUAGUAUAUCGGUUAGUACACGCGCCUGUCAAGAGUGUUUCUGGUGCUACGCGCGAAAGCUGGGUUCGACUCCCAGUCAGAGAG